Long non-coding RNA from Perognathus longimembris pacificus (Pacific pocket mouse), 442 nucleotides. RefSeq lists it as uncharacterized. The transcript has 4 exons. Lineage: Eukaryota; Metazoa; Chordata; Mammalia; Rodentia; Heteromyidae. The record is from RefSeq and is a predicted model, not a curated record.
UGUGUUAGUGUAAGAUUUGAUGAUGGAUUUUAUUUUUCUUUUUAAAACAAGAGGUUUAUUUAAACAACAAGAUGCUUGACUUGAAGGGAAAACUAUCUAGGAUUCCCUUUUUUUUUAACAGUAAUUUACCCCUACUUAAAGACAGAUUGCCCUACAUGUAACAGCUGUGUACAAAGAAGUUAUAAAAUUGUCCUUGGUUUUACAAUGAUAAAUGAAAACAUUAAAAUUCCCCAAUCAAACAAGGUAUGCAAGGAUUUUUGUUGUUUUUUUCUUUUUUUGUUAAAACAGUGAGAGCAAAAUAACUUACUGAAAUAUAAAGAUAAAAGCUGAAUGAGCAUGCCACUAGUGGAGAAGGGGGAUAUCUUCACAGGGCCAGUUUUUUUUUUCCCAAUCCCAUCUCCAUUUGAUGUCAAUCAAAAUAUACCAUUGACCAUUUAGGUUU